This is a non-coding RNA of Gossypium hirsutum (cotton), 107 nucleotides long. NCBI's taxonomy places the organism in Eukaryota, Viridiplantae, Streptophyta, Magnoliopsida, Malvales, Malvaceae. The record is from Rfam.
AUUUCGUGAUGAGGGCAUCUUUGUAAUAAUUCUUUAAGCCUUUCCUAUGCCUCAUACAAGGACUUGUCAUCCAACUGUUUGAAUGUAGUAAUUUCGUUCCUCAACAU